Anolis carolinensis (green anole) is the source of this 3604-nucleotide long non-coding RNA. NCBI's taxonomy places the organism in Eukaryota, Metazoa, Chordata, Lepidosauria, Squamata, Anolidae. The record is from Ensembl.
UUCAAAUUAUUUUUAAAAAAAGAAAAUCCCACAAUAUCUGCUUUGAAAUGGGUUAUCUGAGUCCAUACUUAGAUAAUGUGGGAUGAACAUGCCUUGAUAUUCUGGGAUAUAGGGCUGUGUGGAAGGGUUCUGGGUUAUAUGGGUCUGUGUGGAAGGGCCCAGAGAAGGAUGUGGUCCAGAGUGCAAAAUCAUGGGAUGCUGACUGCCUCCUGCUCCUCCUCGGUACCUCCCCUGGUUUGCCAAAGCCGCCCUUUCCUCUCCUCCUCCUCCAUCCCUCCCUCCCUCCUUCUCUCCUUCUCUCCCUCCCUCCUUCUGCCUCUCCUCCCUCCUCCAAUCGCAGCCUCCCUUACUGCCUGGUGGGCUGAGUGAGCUGCAGCCCCAUCGCCCAGCUGAUCCCAGCCGCCUCGGCCAUGGCAGCACCAGAUUCAGGCAGUGGCCCUCCUCCUGGGCAGCCUGCCCCAUUUCCCCCUGCCCCACCACCUCCACCAAUUCUGCCUCCUCCCUUUAUGCCUCCUCCUGGGAUCCCACCACCCUUUCCCCCAAUGGGAUUACCACCAAUGGGACCACGCCCACCCCCCAUGCCACCCAUGCCCCCAGGUAUGAUGCCACCUCCCCCAUUGAUCCCACCCAUGCCUGGACCGCCACCUUUGGGACAGAUUCCCACUAUGGUGCCACCCAUGCUGCCUGGGAUGAUGAUGCCUGGGGUGCCAGCAGGGCCUGUUCCUGUCACUGGAGGGGUGAGUAUCUGGGAGGAGCAGGAGCUCAUGAGAGUAGAGAAUGGGGUGGGAGUGGAGGACGUGCUUCAGCCUUGGGGCUGAAUACCAAGUUAGAAAAAGUCAUGAGGUGUGCAUGUCAUCCAAUGGGCUUUUAACAGUAUGCCGUUUGGUUGACUUUCAUCCUUUGUCUUUGGAUUGAUCUCUUUCAAAUUUUCAUUCUAUAGCUAGGUCAGUGGCAUUUUAUUAAUCACUUCUUGCAUGUUAUUACUUAGUUCCUGCAAUGUGCUUUUAUAUGUAUUUGUUUUAAUUCUUGUAAGCUUCUUUGAGUCCUGGUUUUAGGAAAAUGUGGAGGAAAUAUGAAUUAACCACGAACUCAACAAAGUUGAUUAUGAUGACAACUAUAUUCCUGAUCAUAUGGUGGGGAAUGAGACCAGAUGUAUGUUAAUAAUGUAACAAAAUUUUGAAAAAAAAUAUGUUCCUAGUUAGAAAAUGUUAUUUUCUGUUUAAUUGUGCAGUACUUACUUUGAAAAUAGUUGUUAUAUUCCAGAAACUUCAUUUUUGUGGAGGCUAUGUUGAAUUGGUUGAGACUCUUGUCAGGUAUUGAUUGAAAAACUAUAGCAAAAUGUGCUGUCGGAUGUCUUGCAAAAACAAAGUUUUUGCAGUUUAAUAAACCUUUUCCAUGUGUUUAUGGUAGAACCAGGAGCUGUGGUGGCCCAAUGGGUUAAACUCUUGUGCCGGCUGGACUGCUGACUUAAAGGUUGGGUUGCUGGCCUGAAGGUUGCCAGGGUGAGCUCCCAUCUGUCAGUUCUAGCUUGCGGGACAGGAGAGAAACCUCCCAGCAGGAUAGUAACAUAUCCGGGCAUCCCCUAGGCAACGUAUCUGUAGACUGCCAAUUCUCUCACACCAGAAGCAACUUGCAGUAUGUUCUCAAGUCACUUUUGAACCAAUUAGGAAAUCACAUUUCUAACCCAGGAACAAAAAUCAUGUUACAUAGUGAUUGCUAUCAAGCUAGCUUUAACUUAUGGCAUCCACAUGAAUGAAAUAUCUCCAAGUUCCCCAGCCAUUACUUAUCUUGCUCAGGUUAUGCAAACUCAGGGCUGGAGACUCCUUGGGUAGGAAAAAAAGAAGACUGUCAAGCAUCAUCAUCUUUCAAAUGAGUCCAGUCUUCUCAUGAUAUGUCCCAAGUAUGGUAGCCUCAGAUUAGUUUUUUUGGCUUCUAGGAAAAGUUUGAGCCUGAUUUUCUCUUUCCAGGAAUAGUUCUUACCAAUCUAGAGAUUUCCCCACCAAUAAUACAAAAAGAGAUCUCACAUCUGUCUUUACUCGGAAGUAAGCCCUAUUGCUUACCAAAAAUCAUAAUUCAGUGGUAGCACAACAGCUUUCUCACAUCUCAGUUCUUAGGUCACGUCUUAUUCCCAUAAUUGAUUAGGGUUGACAGCAAAAAAGCGUUGGGUUAAGUGGGAGCGCCGCUUUUGCAGGCUGGUGUUUUCCCGUCCAUGAGGGCCGGAAAUGACGGUCAUCACUGGAAUUCGUUGGCAUUCUGUGAUAAGACCAGGAGGGCUCCUGGAUGACUUGAUCUCUGCCAGUUUCUGCUCUCUGUCUGAACAUUACAGGAGAAAGCAACUGAAGACGGGGAGGGAUUGCAUAUAUCUUGAAGAGGCCAUGUCUGUGUUUAAGUGCUCCAUUGCAUUUGGGCGCUGGACAUGAUGCUCUUGGGUAGAGCUUUGGACUCCGUCUCCCAGAGUCCCCUCUGCCAGUAUGGUUACUGGGAUUUGUGGAAAUUGUAGUCCCAAAAGUAGUAUUCCUCAGCUCUGUUCUAUUAUGGGAGUUUGAGAUUUCCAGAUGGUGGCUGCUACCGUGGAUCAUGUUAUCACCUUGGCCCAGGACAGUGAGACAGCAUUUGCUGACCUUCGGAGGGGGUUUGUGGGUAGCAAGAUUAAUCAUGUUGAAAGUAGACAGUCAAUGCAUCAAGGGCUAUAACAAACACGAACAACACCAUAUUUCAGUGGCUUUGAGAGAACAAGUGGUGUCUGCGUGUGGCAAAUCCAUACACUUAGCCCUUCCCCUCCCCUCCUCUAUUUGAUACUUUUCUGCUCUAAGGGUGCAUUUACACAGCAAAAUCAAUGCAGUUUGACACCACUUUAUGGCUCAAUGCUAUGGAACCCAGGGGGUUGUCGUUUGUCGUUUGGGGAGGAAGCAACCAGCACUAUUAUGUAGAGAAGGCUAAAGACCUUGUAAUACUACAACUCCAAGGAUUUCAUAUCAUUGAGACAAGGCAGUUGAAGUGGUGUCAAACUGUCUUAAUUCUGCAGUGAGAAUGUACCCUAGGAGAGACUGCAGCAGUUUACUUUUGCCUGAGCCUACUGGGAUGGGCAAAUUUCCUCUCCACCUGCUGAAUUAAUGCAGCUUGACAUCAUUUUGUGGCCCAAUGCUAUGGAGUUCUUGGAGCUGUAGUUUGGUAAGUCACUGGAACUCUUUGGCAGAGAAGACUGGAGACCUUAUAAAGCGACUGAUCUCAGGAUUUUGUAUCCCUGAGUCAAGGUAGCUAUAGUGGUGUCAAACUGGAUUAAUGUCACAGUGUAAAUGUCCCCAAGUCACCCUGCUCGGCCCUUUUCACACAGUUGGCAGGGAGGGGGAAUAUUAGAAUAUUCUCCAGCAUUUGCAGAGAGCUGAGUUCAACCUCCUUGAUUUCUUUUUGACAGGCAGCUCCUGUGACUGACCCAUCCAAUGGUAAGGAUCCGGAGCAGUACCUAUUGAUCUACUCACAUUUGCAUGUUUUCGAACUGCUAGGUUGGCAGAAGCUGGGGCUAACAGCAGGUGCUCACUCCGCUCCCCAGAUUCAAAUCUGCGACCUUUUGGUCCGCAAGUUCAGCAGCUCAGCACUUUAUCAC